AUGUGGUCUUACGGUGAUAAUAGUCGUGGUGGAGGCGUGCCGACGAUCUCGACUGAAGCGUGGGCUAGUGCUGUUGGAGCUUGUCAGAUCUGGUGCGAAGACACGACUGAGCUUCGAAGCUUUCCGGCGGUAUUGAUGGAGUCCGCAGUCAUGGUGCGUGAGGAUGGUUCGUCGGGAACGUUCCAGUUACCGAUCAAAGUCCCUCUGUCGCUUCUUUUCCUUCUGUUUGGUUUUGACUUGGUUAUGUUGUUGAGUUGA
Non-coding RNA from Vicia faba (fava bean), 258 nucleotides. The record is from the annotation of a GenBank genome assembly. Lineage: Eukaryota; Viridiplantae; Streptophyta; Magnoliopsida; Fabales; Fabaceae.